GUUACCCCUUCUAGUCCACUUCUGGUCACCCGCUUCAGAUACUAUUUUCUUAACGUGCAGUCUGCUAAGAGCAUCACUACGCACGCUCCACCACGUGCGAAAACCUUGAAUGAAAACCGAUUGUAAACAAGGGUUUUAAAAACGCUGCUCGAACAAUAUCAUCAGGAAUUGGUGCAUCUGAGACAGAAUUUAGUAAUGAACAUGCUAUUAAUAUGGAAGCUGAAUCAAACCAGUCCUCAGCUAGAGAAGAAAUUCUUAAAGACGAAG
Stegodyphus dumicola is the source of this 267-nucleotide long non-coding RNA. NCBI's taxonomy places the organism in Eukaryota, Metazoa, Arthropoda, Arachnida, Araneae, Eresidae. The record is from RefSeq and is a predicted model, not a curated record.